CCUACGGGAGGCAGCAGUGGGGAAUAUUGGACAAUGGGCGCAAGCCUGAUCCAGCCAUCCCGCGUGUGUGAAGAAGGCCUUCGGGUUGUAAAGCACUUUUGUUGUGGAAGAAAGCGUACGGUUUAAUACUUCGUGCGGAUGACGGUAGCCAAAGAAUAAGCACCGGCUAACUUCGUGCCAUCAGACGCGGUAAUACGAAGGGUGCAAGCGUUACUCGGAAUUACUGGGCGUAAAGCGUGCGCAGGCGGUUCNUUAAGUCUGCUGUGAAAGCCCUGGGCUCAACCUGGGAAUGGCAGUGGAUACUGGCGAGCUAGAGUACGGUAGAGGAAGGUGGAAUUCCCGGUGUAGCGGUGAAAUGCGUAGAGAUCGGGAGGAACACCAGUGGCGAAGGCGACCUUCUGGACCAGUACUGACGCUCAUGCACGAAAGCGUGGGGAGCAAACAGGAUUAGAUAUCCCUGGUAGUCCACG
RNAcentral lists this ribosomal RNA (470 nucleotides) under uncultured bacterium. RNAcentral's name for it is "bacterial SSU rRNA". It matches the Rfam family "Bacterial small subunit ribosomal RNA", at positions 338 to 799 of the family's 1533-position model. The record is from RNAcentral.